RNAcentral lists this unclassified non-coding RNA (430 nucleotides) under soil metagenome. RNAcentral's name for it is "partial contains 5.8S ribosomal RNA, internal transcribed spacer 2, and large subunit ribosomal RNA". The stretch from base 1 to 120 matches the Rfam family "5.8S ribosomal RNA", at positions 35 to 154 of the family's 154-position model. The record is from RNAcentral.
GAUGAAGAACGCAGCGAAAUGCGAUACGUAAUGUGAAUUGCAGAAUUCAGUGAAUCAUCGAAUCUUUGAACGCAUAUUGCGCUCUCUGGUAUUCCGGAGAGCAUGCUUGUUUGAGUAUCAGUAAACACCUCAACUCCCUUUUCUUUUUUGAAAUUGGAGCUGGACUUGAGUGAUCCCAACGCUUUCUUCCAAGAAAGUGGCGGGUUGCUUGAAAUGCAGGUGCAGCUGAACUUUUCUCUGAGCUAUAAGCAUAUCUAUUUAGUCUGCCUAAAAAACAGAUUAUUACCUUUGCUGCAGCUAACAUAAAGGAGACUAGUUCUUGUGCUGACUGAUGCAGGAUUCACAGAGACAGCUUCGGCUGACUUUGUAAACUCGAUCUCAAAUCAAGUAAGACUACCCGCUGAACUUAAGCAUAUCAAUACGCGGAGGA